AGCAAUGAAAGUCCCUGAAAAAUGGAUGACACUCUGGUCCGUGAAGCCCAGAGUUUGUUUGGCCCAGGACAUUCGAGAAGUGUUGGAAACUGGCAUGCCGUGUGGUGCAGCGGGCCACAGGGAUGACGGGACUCUAGCAAAGAGGCUCAGACAGCCUACCUCUAACACCGGAUCCAGAAUCAUCUUCACACGGAAAGGAGGUAACGUGCAGGUCAGGGAGACAUAGCACGCGUCACCUCAUUCAGCGGUUGUCAGCCCCAGCUGCACAGUGACAUCCCAGCCCCUGCCCAGACCAAAGAAAUCCGACUUCUUUUCCUUUAAUCUCAUGUCUGCAAUAGAUUCAGGGCAAUGCCACAUCGCCAACCCCCACCCCCAGCGUGACCCUCCUUGCACAAAGAUAAAGCAAGCUGACAUUGGGGAGAGGGGUGAAGGAGACCCCAGAAAUAUUCAGUGAGGUGGAGUGCCAGAGCUUCAAAGGCCUCUGCGUGGCAGCUGUCAGUAAGAGCCACAGACACCUUAGCUCAGCAGGCUCAUCGGACUCCCUUCUGGCUUCCUGGGGGCCUGUGACACAGGGCAGGUGUUUUUGAAUCCGGAUGAAGGGAGCAAGGGAGAUGCGCCACCCAGAGAAAGAAGCCAGGGGAGGACGGCGGAUGGGGACACUGUUCCAGGGACUGCAUCUCUCUCUCCCCAGAACCAGGAGUACAUCCUUUUUGCAGCACUCCCCGACCUCUCUUGCCCUGAUGCAGCCAGGGAAGGAUGGCCUUCUCACAUGCCUCCUCCGAGAAAAAGUGAGUAGAGGAAGCCCUAGAUCUAUGCAUGUGGAUGAGACCCAGCCCCUGGUCAAUGGCCUGGCUCCCGUUUCUAGAAUGCCCAGGCAUGAGAAUGCCAACACAAGCCAAAAUUCCUUCCACGAACAGAGAUGUGUAGACGGGCUUCCCCCUCCCGGCCACACUGCACCUCACCUGGCGGCAUCUCCUGGGAGCCCAGGGGUGCUGGGGUGGCUUGGACCACGGCUCUGCCUCUCUCUAAAUUUCCCUCACCUCUUUGUUCUCCAACAACUGCCAAGGCUCAUGAGACCGGGAAGCAGGUGGGGUGAGGGGUGGGAAGCAGAGAAAGCAGACACAUGCAUCUGA
This 1133-nucleotide long non-coding RNA is filed under the name Canis lupus familiaris (dog). Its description in RNAcentral is "lncRNA (ENSCAFG00040023666.1)". Lineage: Eukaryota; Metazoa; Chordata; Mammalia; Carnivora; Canidae. The record is from RNAcentral.